This 1225-nucleotide long non-coding RNA is filed under the name Mus pahari (shrew mouse). Its description in RNAcentral is "lncRNA (MGP_PahariEiJ_G0004308.1)". The record is from RNAcentral. Lineage: Eukaryota; Metazoa; Chordata; Mammalia; Rodentia; Muridae.
UGGGUCACGGGCUCCGGGAGCUCCAGGUGACUCCGACAGAAAGAAGGGAGCCUUAGUAAGGCUGAAGCACACCAGCAGGCACACAGUGAGACUGCUGGGGGUUGGGGGGGGAAUGGCACUGCAGAAACAGCUGGUGCACAUGAAAAAGCUAUGAAGUUCGAAGAUGUCGUGUAACUCUGGAACUCCACAUGAGGGGGGACAGACUAGAUGCAGCCCUGUGUGUGGGGAUGUGGGCUGGAGCCAGGUGUCCAGAGCUUUUCCUGAACCUGCUCCAGUCUGCUGCAGCCUGUGGGGCUGCUGAGAAGGGCUGGAAGGCUUGUGGAGAGCCCUGAAAGACCAUAUGGCCCUACUGGGGAAGUGUGUCCCUGUGUUCUGCACCUUUAAGAUCUGUGAGUUCUUCCUGUGCAUGAGGUUGGACCAAGCACAUGAGAGACUGCCUGGAGCCAUUUGUGCCGCAGCCCAGGAGUUCUGUAUGGAAAUGGUCUUCAAAGUCUCUACCACGUCUGAGGCCAGACUUCACCACCUGGGUAGCCUUAAAGAAUUCUCUCUCUCCUUAAGUCUCUCCUCCUCCUGCUCUGCUAUAAUCCCCUCAGCCAGUGUGUGCUCCAGAUGGCCUCCUUGUCAUCUAGAAUCUACUCUACCCUUACUCCAUAGCCAUGUUUUUGGCACAUGGCCAUGUCCCAGGAAGACUGUAUUUCUUAGUUCACCUCUGCCUAAGGGCUGAGCUGAAGUGACAUCUCACCAGUGGAUUGUGGGAGGAAGAGCUGUGUGAAGGAUGCACUGGUAAUUGCUUAAAAACAGGAUGUUGUUUCUGCCCCAUUUCCAUGGUGCAAAGAUCCUGACCAUGGCGGUUUGUCGUUUGUUUCAUAUAUGGCAGCAGACACCUCUGCUGUGGUCAGAAGGGGACAGCAGGUUAAUGCCAUAGAGGAAGAAAGAAAAUGUGGGCUUUCUGUCUCACUUACUCAUGUUGCCAGUGUUGCUUGUGGUCCUUUUCUGAGUGUGUACAGAGAUUCCGAUGACCAGAAAAUGUAUCUGGUCAUGACCAGAAGUCAGCAGUGGGUCAUGGUUUCAUAUGAAUUUGCUCCAUGGAUAGAAAGGACUCUACAUUUUGUUUGUGCUAACCGAGUUCAGCUGGUCUUUCUAUUUUCUGCCUUGUCUGUCCCACACAUGUUAUUCAUGAUCCCCCUGCAAACCUGGAAGUUCAGUGACUAAGGACUGUUCUUGU